CCUACGGGAGGCAGCAGUGAGGAAUAUUGGUCAAUGGGCGCGAGCCUGAACCAGCCAAGUAGCGUGAAGGAUGACUGCCCUACGGGUUGUAAACUUCUUUUAUAAAGGAAUAAAGUGAGGCACGUGUGCCUUUUUGUAUGUACUUUAUGAAUAAGGAUCGGCUAACUCCGUGCCAGCAGCCGCGGUAAUACGGAGGAUCCGAGCGUUAUCCGGAUUUAUUGGGUUUAAAGGGAGCGUAGAUGGGUUGUUAAGUCAGUUGUGAAAGUUUGCGGCUCAACCGUAACAUUGCGAUUGAUACUGGCAGCCUUGAGUACAGUUGAGGUAGGCGGAAUUCGCGGUGUAGCGGUGAAAUGCUUAGAUAUCACGAAGAACUCCGAUUGCGAAGGCAGCUUACUAACUUGACACUGACAUUGAUGCUCGAAAGUGUGGGUAUCGAACAGGAUUAGAUACCCCUGUAGUC
Molecule: ribosomal RNA, 460 nt
Filed under: uncultured bacterium
Lineage: Bacteria
Description: partial 16S ribosomal RNA
Rfam family: Bacterial small subunit ribosomal RNA
Source: RNAcentral